AGUAAACUCCUGUACUGUAAUUAGCUUAGCAUUAAGCAGGUAUUACGUAAUCACGGUUUAUUAGGGGUUAGCCUGUAAUUUUUAUUUUGUAUCUUAGCAGGCUGGAUAUCGUUUAUGUCCUGUAUAAAAUUUUUAUUUUUAUUAUUAUUUUAUUUUCUAUGUUGGUCAUUUGAGAUUCAGUCACAGAAUGUUCUGGAUUGUUGUGCACGCGCCCGGUGGUUGGGUGUCGUUCGUUAUAGGAGCGCGAGGCGCUUCAGAAAAGCCCAGGCGGCAGGAUCUCGCGCGCGCUGAGUGGAGACAGGACGAGUAGCGAGCUUCGGGGUGUGACAGAAAGGCUGGAGGAACAGGGUGCAGUGAACUGACUGCAGAAAUGAAAGGUCGUUGAAGCGGGCCACUUGGUUCUUCAUGACGGCGGACGCGUUCCUCAGCUCGGCCGAGUAAUUCUCGUCGUUUCCGGCCAUGACGGUGACCAGGGUGCCGUCGGGAACAUCACCGAGAGCCACCACCUGCACCAGGUUGUCCAGAAAAAAUGCUUAACAAAACCCAACAACAGCCGUUUUAAGCUUUUUACAAGACUGAAAAUUAUAAUUAAAAGCUUCAGUUAAGAGAU
This is a long non-coding RNA of Silurus meridionalis, 610 nucleotides long. RefSeq lists it as uncharacterized. The transcript has 4 exons. The record is from RefSeq and is a predicted model, not a curated record. NCBI's taxonomy places the organism in Eukaryota, Metazoa, Chordata, Actinopteri, Siluriformes, Siluridae.